UGGGGAAUAUUGGACAAUGGGGGCAACCCUGAUCCAGCCAUGCCGCGUGUGUGAAGAAGGCCUUUUGGUUGUAAAGCACUUUAAGCAGUGAAGAAGACUCCAUGGUUAAUACCCAUGGACGAUGACAUUAGCUGCAGAAUAAGCACCGGCUAACUCUGUGCCAGCAGCCGCGGUAAUACAGAGGGUGCAAGCGUUAAUCGGAAUUACUGGGCGUAAAGCGAGCGUAGGUGGCUUGAUAAGUCAGAUGUGAAAGCCCCGGGCUUAACCUGGGAACGGCAUCUGAUACUGUUAGGCUAGAGUAGGUGAGAGGAAGGCAGAAUUCCAGGUGUAGCGGUGAAAUGCGUAGAGAUCUGGAGGAAUACCGAUGGCGAAGGCAGCCUUCUGGCAUCAUACUGACACUGAGGUUCGAAAGCGUGGGUAGCAAACA
This 427-nucleotide ribosomal RNA is filed under the name uncultured bacterium. Its description in RNAcentral is "partial 16S ribosomal RNA". It matches the Rfam family "Bacterial small subunit ribosomal RNA", at positions 355 to 774 of the family's 1533-position model. The record is from RNAcentral.